Molecule: ribosomal RNA, 209 nt
Filed under: Escherichia coli
Lineage: Bacteria; Pseudomonadati; Pseudomonadota; Gammaproteobacteria; Enterobacterales; Enterobacteriaceae
Description: partial 23S ribosomal RNA
Rfam family: Bacterial large subunit ribosomal RNA
Source: RNAcentral
CUAUCAUUAACUGAAUCCAUAGGUUAAUGAGGCGAACCGGGGGAACUGAAACAUCUAAGUACCCCGAGGAAAAGAAAUCAACCGAGAUUCCCCCAGUAGCGGCGAGCGAACGGGGAGCAGCCCAGAGCCUGAAUCAGUGUGUGUGUUAGUGGAAGCGUCUGGAAAGGCGCGCGAUACAGGGUGACAGCCCCGUACACAAAAAUGCACAU